Molecule: non-coding RNA, 26 nt
Filed under: Homo sapiens (human)
Lineage: Eukaryota; Metazoa; Chordata; Mammalia; Primates; Hominidae
Source: RNAcentral
GAGGAUGGCCACUGAUGUGUGUUUGU